This 323-nucleotide ribosomal RNA is filed under the name uncultured bacterium. RNAcentral's name for it is "bacterial SSU rRNA". It matches the Rfam family "Bacterial small subunit ribosomal RNA", at positions 30 to 355 of the family's 1533-position model. The record is from RNAcentral.
AUUGAACGCUGGCGGCAUGCUCAACACAUGCAAGUCGAACGGUAACAGGCCCUUCGGGUGCCGACGAGUGGCGGACGGGUGAGUAAUGCUUAGGAAUCUGCCUAGUAGUGGGGGAUAACCCGGGGAAACUCGGGCUAAUACCGCAUACGCCCUACGGGGAAAGCGGGGACGUUUCGGCCUCGCGCGUAUUAGAUGAGCCUAAGUCCGAUUAGCUAGUUGGUAGGGUAAUGGCCUACCAAGGCGACGACGGUAGCUGGUCUGAGAGGACGACCAAGCCACACUGGGACUGAGACACGGCCCAGACUCCUACGGGAGGCAGCAGU